Molecule: transfer RNA, 70 nt
Filed under: uncultured Minwuia sp.
Lineage: Bacteria; Pseudomonadati; Pseudomonadota; Alphaproteobacteria; Minwuiales; Minwuiaceae
Rfam family: tRNA
About the family: Transfer RNA (tRNA) molecules are approximately 80 nucleotides in length. Their secondary structure includes four short double-helical elements and three loops (D, anti-codon, and T loops).
Source: RNAcentral
CGACGUGGCUCAACUGGUAGAGCAACCGCCUUGUAAGCGGUAGGUUGGGGGUUCAAGUCCCUCCGUCGGC